Molecule: ribosomal RNA, 254 nt
Filed under: uncultured bacterium
Lineage: Bacteria
Description: partial 16S ribosomal RNA
Rfam family: Bacterial small subunit ribosomal RNA
Source: RNAcentral
CUCUCUUUGCUGGCGACCGGCGCACGGGUGAGUAACACGUAUCCAACCUGCCCUUUACUCGGGGAUAGCCUUUCGAAAGAAAGAUUAAUACCCGAUAGCAUAAUGAUUCCGCAUGGUUUCAUUAUUAAAGGAUUCCGGUAAAGGAUGGGGAUGCGUUCCAUUAGGUUGUUGGUGAGGUAACGGCCCACCAAGCCUUCGAUGGAUAGGGGUUCUGAGAGGAAGGUCCCCCACAUUGGAACUGAGACACGGUCCAA